UACGUAGGGCGCAAGCGUUGUCCGGAAUUAUUGGGCGUAAAGAGCUCGUAGGCGGUUUGUCGCGUCUGCUGUGAAAAACUCGGGGCUUAACCCCGGGCCUGCAGUGGGUACGGGCAGACUAGAGUGCGGUAGGGGAGACUGAAUUCCUGGUGUAGCGGUGAAAUGCGCAGAUAUCAGGAGGAACACCGGUGGCGAAGGCGGGUCUCUGGGCCGUAACUGACGCUGAGGAGCGAAAGCGUGGGGAGCGAACAGG
RNAcentral lists this ribosomal RNA (253 nucleotides) under uncultured bacterium. RNAcentral's name for it is "partial 16S ribosomal RNA". It matches the Rfam family "Bacterial small subunit ribosomal RNA", at positions 524 to 776 of the family's 1533-position model. The record is from RNAcentral.